RNAcentral lists this ribosomal RNA (317 nucleotides) under uncultured bacterium. RNAcentral's name for it is "bacterial SSU rRNA". It matches the Rfam family "Bacterial small subunit ribosomal RNA", at positions 30 to 355 of the family's 1533-position model. The record is from RNAcentral.
AUUGAACGCUGGCGGCAUGCCUAACACAUGCAAGUCGAACGAGGUGUAGCAAUACACCUAGUGGCGGACGGGUGAGUAAUACGUAGGAAUCUGCCUCAGAGUGGGGGAUAGCCCGGGGAAACCCGGAUUAAUACCGCAUGAUCUCCACGGAGCAAAGCAGGGGACCGCAAGGCCUUGCGCUCUGAGAGGAGCCUACGUCUGAUUAGCUAGUUGGUGGGGUAAUGGCCUACCAAGGCGACGAUCAGUAGCUGGUCUGAGAGGACGAUCAGCCACACCGGAACUGAGACACGGUCCGGACUCCUACGGGAGGCAGCAUG